UACUCCUACGGGAGGCAGCAGUGGGGAAUUUUGGACAAUGGGGGAAACCCUGAUCCAGCCAUGCCGCGUGUAUGAUGAAGGCCUUUCGGGUUGUAAAGUACUUUUGGCAGAGAAGAAAAAGGUAUCACCCUAAUACGGGGAUACAUGCUGACGGUAUCUGCAGAAUAAGCACCGGCUAACUACGUGCCAGCAGCCGCGGUAAUAC
RNAcentral lists this ribosomal RNA (205 nucleotides) under uncultured Alcaligenes sp. Its description in RNAcentral is "partial 16S ribosomal RNA". It matches the Rfam family "Bacterial small subunit ribosomal RNA", at positions 334 to 526 of the family's 1533-position model. Lineage: Bacteria; Pseudomonadati; Pseudomonadota; Betaproteobacteria; Burkholderiales; Alcaligenaceae. The record is from RNAcentral.